UUGGAGUUUAUCCCUAGGGAAGGUGGCAU
Molecule: non-coding RNA, 29 nt
Filed under: Mus musculus (house mouse)
Lineage: Eukaryota; Metazoa; Chordata; Mammalia; Rodentia; Muridae
Source: RNAcentral